RNAcentral lists this long non-coding RNA (854 nucleotides) under Marmota monax (woodchuck). The record is from RNAcentral. Lineage: Eukaryota; Metazoa; Chordata; Mammalia; Rodentia; Sciuridae.
CUCUGGGGUCCGUCCCCAGGGCCCAGCCUGGCCAAGUGCUUUGCUGGCUCCCUGCAGCGAGUCCCUGAGCACCGGCUGUGUCCUCACUUGCAGGGUGACAGGUGUCCUCCUAAGGACAGCCACCCUCAUGCCCCAGACCCGCACUUGGCUGGCACUGAGACCCGGUUGUCUGGCCCCGGCCCCGGGGCCCUCCCAGCACCGGGCUGGUAACCCAGCUGCUCCCACCGUGGUCCUUGCUCCCCGGUGACUCGACUGGGCUCCAAGACACAGAGUAUCGGGGGCAGCGAAGUGCUCUGUGGACCCAGAGCCAUGGCUGCCGCUCUCCUCAGGUCCACAGGGCACUGACGCAAGACCCAGGGACCAGGGUCGAUGCCCUCUCCAGGGAGGACCCACUCAGCCAGAGCCUGGAGAGUGCUCUGUGUGAAGGUGACCCCUCGUCUCCAGGCGCCUGAUGGAAUCCUUGCUCCUGUUUUUCCCCUUAAGGCAUUAAAAAUAAAUAAACAAACAUCCAUGUGCCCAAGAAAUAAGACAUUACUGAUGUGCCCUGCUGGGGUUUGACUCUAGAAUGUUCCCCAGAGACCCAGAUAGUGAAAGACGUGGUCCCCAGUCCCUGGGGCUGUCUGGAGGUGGCAGAACCUAGGUGAGGUAGGACCUAGUGGAAGAAGGUCCCUGGCGAAUGUCUUUAAAGGGGACAUUGGGACCCCAGUCACGUCCUCUCUCUCCUCCUCCUGCUUCCUAGAUGCCAUGAGGUAGACAGGCCUCCUCCACCAUGUCUGCCCGCCAUGAGGCACUGUGCUGCCACAGGCCCAAAGCAACAGGCCAAGGGACCAUGACCUGAAACCACUGAAACUGUG